This 347-nucleotide long non-coding RNA is filed under the name Mytilus galloprovincialis (Mediterranean mussel). The record is from RNAcentral. Lineage: Eukaryota; Metazoa; Mollusca; Bivalvia; Mytilida; Mytilidae.
CUAGACAUGUACACCUUACAAUCAUUCCAUACAACAAAUAUAGUAGACCUAUUGCAUAAAGUAUGAGAAUAACAGACCAAAACACAAAAAUCUAACUAUAACCACUGAACCAUGAAAAUGAGGUCAAGGUCAGAUGACACCUGCCAGUUGGACAUGUACACCUUACAGUCCUUCCAUACACCGAAUAUAUUAGCCCUAUUGCUUAUAGUAUCUGAGAUAUGGACUUGACCACCAAAACUUAACCUUGUUCACUGAUCCAUGAAAUGAGGUCGAGGUCAAGUGAAAACUGUCUGACAGACAUGAGGACCUUGCAAGGUACACACAUAUCAAAUAUAGUUAUCCUAUUA